GAGCUUGCUCUCAAGAAGUUAGCGGCGGACGGGUGAGUAACACGUGGGUAACCUGCCCAUAAGACUGGGAUAACUCCGGGAAACCGGGGCUAAUACCGGAUAACAUUUUGAACUGCAUGGUUCGAAAUUGAAAGGCGGCUUCGGCUGUCACUUAUGGAUGGACCCGCGUCGCAUUAGCUAGUUGGUGAGGUAACGGCUCACCAAGGCAACGAUGCGUAGCCGACCUGAGAGGGUGAUCGGCCACACUGGGACUGAGACACGGCCCAGACUCCUACGGGAGGCAGCAGUAGGGAAUCUUCCGCAAUGGACGAAAGUCUGACGGAGCAACGCCGCGUGAGUGAUGAAGGCUUUCGGGUCGUAAAACUCUGUUGUUAGGGAAGAACAAGUGCUAGUUGAAUAAGCUGGCACCUUGACGGUACCUAACCAGAAAGCCACGGCUAACUACGUGCCAGCAGCCGCGGUAAUACGUAGGUGGCAAGCGUUAUCCGGAAUUAUUGGGCGUAAAGCGCGCGCAGGUGGUUUCUUAAGUCUGAUGUGAAAGCCCACGGCUCAACCGUGGAGGGUCAUUGGAAACUGGGAGACUUGAGUGCAGAAGAGGAAAGU
This 603-nucleotide ribosomal RNA is filed under the name Bacillus sp. (in: firmicutes). RNAcentral's name for it is "bacterial SSU rRNA". It matches the Rfam family "Bacterial small subunit ribosomal RNA", at positions 76 to 662 of the family's 1533-position model. The record is from RNAcentral. Lineage: Bacteria; Bacillati; Bacillota; Bacilli; Caryophanales; Bacillaceae.